This 447-nucleotide ribosomal RNA is filed under the name uncultured bacterium. RNAcentral's name for it is "partial 16S ribosomal RNA". It matches the Rfam family "Bacterial small subunit ribosomal RNA", at positions 29 to 523 of the family's 1533-position model. The record is from RNAcentral.
AACGAACGCUGGCGGCAGGCCUAAUACAUGCAAGUCGAACGCACCUUCGGGUGAGUGGCGCACGGGUGAGUAACACGUGGGAAUGUACCCUUUGGUUCGGAAUAACGUUUGGAAACGAACGCUAAUACCGGAUGAGCCCUCUGGGGGAAAGAUUUAUCGCCAAAGGAGCAGCCCGCGUCUGAUUAGCUAGUUGGUGGGGUAAAGGCCUACCAAGGCGACGAUCAGUAGCUGGUCUGAGAGGAUGAUCAGCCACACUGGGACUGAGACACGGCCCAGACUCCUACGGGAGGCAGCAGUGGGGAAUAUUGGACAAUGGGCGCAAGCCUGAUCCAGCCAUGCCGCGUGAGUGAUGAAGGCCUUCGGGUUGUAAAGCUCUUUCGCACGCGACGAUGAUGACGGUAGCGUGAGAAGAAGCCCCGGCUAACUUCGUGCCAGCAGCCGCCGUAA